GUGUACCGGAAGGUGCACCUGGAAAGUCAGGAUAGAGCUUGAUUAGUUAAGCAUUUCAUUUACACUGAAAAUACACUGUGCAAUUCAGUUUAUUCUGAUAAAUUUUAACUUACUUUAGUUGUUAGUUGUUAAAAGUUUUUUUAAUUAAAUUAUUUUUAAUAGGUUAUGUUUGUGUAUAGAAUAUAGAUAAAAUUAUUUAAGUGGUAGGUUAAUUGUAUCGUGAGAGGUUGAUUGAAAUAGUUUGAAAAUAUAUUUUUAUAAAAGUAGAUUAAUGAUUGUACCUUGUGUAUCAGGGUUUAUUAAAAAAAUUGCAAAUAUUUGUAUUUUCCCGAUUUGAAGAGAGCUAAAUAAAUGUGUUAGUUAAUGUGGAAUAAUUAUUAAUAACAUUUAUUUAGUAAUGAAACGUUAUCCGUUCUUUAAGAUAUCUGGUUUUCCGAGAAAUGAAUUUAAUUCAGGUUUAAAAAAGUGUAAUUUAAUUUAUUAAAUAAAUCAUUUUUUUUAAGCUAAUGCCCUGGGGGAUAAGCUUUAGGGUAGGUUUUAUAAUUAGUGAAAUUUUAAAAGAUUUAGUAGGCUUAGAAUUAGCCAUCUAUUAAAGGAUGUUAUAAUUUAAUUUUUUGUAAGUUUAAUUUUCUAAGAAUUUAAGUUUUAUAUCGGAGCAAUGUAACUAAUUUUUAGUUACUUGAGAUAAUGAUAAAAUUAGUAUAAAAAUUGUUUAAAUUAUUAAAAAAAUGUGAGGUUACAUUAAGGAAUUAGGCAAAUUAGUACUCGCCUGUUUAACAAAAACAUGUCUUCUUGAUUAUAAUUUGAAGUCUGACCUGCCCACUGAAUUUUAUAUUUGAAGGGCCGCGGUAUUUUGACCGUGCAAAGGUAGCAUAAUCAUUAGUCUUUUAAUUGAAGGCUAGAAUGAAUGGUUGGACGAGGUACUGACUGUCUCGGUGUGAUUGAUAUUAGAAUUUAACUUUUAAGUUAAAAGGCUUAAAUAUAUUUAA
This 989-nucleotide ribosomal RNA is filed under the name Protonemura lateralis. RNAcentral describes it as "partial large subunit ribosomal RNA". The record is from RNAcentral. Lineage: Eukaryota; Metazoa; Arthropoda; Insecta; Plecoptera; Nemouridae.